GAGUUAACCUCUCCAGAAGGUUGCUUCUGGAGAGGUGUUCGAUCGGGUAUUUAACCGCAGCUACAACUGAGCUGGAGAUUCCUAUGAGAAAUAAGUAGCCUAGUUUUGUCCGAGCAUAUUUAGGAAGGUUGGAUUGCCUGCCUGAAAGAGCUUGGAACUCCUUUAGAUCACUCAGCCUGGACUGCGGCGGUCUCACAAGUCGAGCUCUCGGAUUCUACCCGCAGCUUACUCCCCACUCGUUCUUCCGGACUUUAAUGAAGGAAUACAUGAACCAGCCGGCUCCUUCCCAAUUUGUGAAGUCGACGCAGAUUCUCCACUUGCCGGUCUUCUUCUUUACCACAAUUGUAUUGGACAUCUAACUCAAGUAAAGAACCUCUGUUAUUGCACUCGCCUAUUUCAGCUUUUCAACCUCUUCUAUCACCGCGUCCACAUGUUCUGGCGCGGACCUUCUUCCUCUUUGUUUCACUGGUUGAGCUUCUGGGAGGACGUUCAACUCGUGUUUGAUGAAAUUGGGGCCUAUCCCAGGCAUCUCAUAGGGUGUCCAUGCGAAAACUUCAAUAUUUGCUAUGAGGAACUUGAUGAGCUCGCUUCUCUCUCGUUCCUCCAGGUUGCACCAAUGAGAAAGAAACGGUCCAAGAUUGGCUCAUCAAGUUCAUAGCGUAUCAAAUCUUCCACGACUUUAGCCUCAGGAACUCUGCCGACGUUUUCCAGGACAUCGUACUCUUCCUCAAUCACUUGCACUUCUUUUAUGGCCGCCUUAAUGGAGAUCAUAGUAGGUAGCAUUGUUUGGCUACUACUUGAUCUCCAUAAAGGGUUUCUUCACAUCGGGGGUGGCAAACUUAAUGACUUGGCGUAGCUAGCUACGACUAAUUCUUCUGAACAUUCUUUAAUUUCGUUAUAAGUUUUCCAGUAUCACAUGUUGUAAUUUCGAAUUGAUUCAUUCUUGCCUUUUUUAAGCAUUAAAAGAGAGCCAACGCCUUUUGGCGCUUUCGUGUUUAUGACGAACCGAGCUACAAAUGACUCGAUGAGCUAAUAGAAGCUUUCAAUUGAUCUUGUAGGUAGUCGGUCGAACCAUUUCAACCCGAGAUCUCUCGAGCUCGAUGGAAACACUCGGCAUAUCAGGGCAUCCAUGUGAUUCCAGAGAGCUAUCAUUUGUCUGGCGUGACAGAUGUGUGAUCUUAGGUCUGAAUUCCCAUCAUACAGUGUGAAUCUCGGCAGUGUGAACUUCUCUGGUGGGUCCAAUCCCUUGAUGUUUUGGGAGAAUGGAGUUUGGUACCUUGGGAUUGCUUCCCUUAGUUCGGGCCUGGUCGUGUAGCCUACUGAUCAUGUAGGAACGAUGACUUUGCUCGAAGCCGCCGCUAUUCGGUCAUUGAGCUUGGUGCGCAAAUCACCAUCUCGAUUUCGCUUGGCAUUGAGCGCCUCAUAGAGAUCCAUACCAGAAUCAGCUCGGUUAGGUGAUCCUCUAUGCUUCCUUGAUGCUACAAAAUUGCUAUAUGUUCUACUAUCCAAGCUGACAUGAGAUCUGCGUUGCCUCUUAUCCCGUCCUUCCUGAGGCAGGAGGGUUGGUCCUUUAGGCCUGCCCUCGGAUGGUCUUCCUUCUACUGCUUGGGUUGGCUUCAUCAAUCUAUUGUCAACCAGGAUCUGCGCCAUUUCAGCUAACUAGGUCUGCAGGCUUUUGAUGGUUAGAUCCCUGUUGUCUUCUCCUUUAGGGAGCAAUCGACUUAGUCUCUGCCUUGAGGUGACCUUGGAUGUCCUUUGUGCAUCGACUAGUAGUUUAUCUCCUCUUGUAGAAGGAGUUUUAGGGGCAUAAGAGUGCUCCCUUUGGGUUUCUCGGCUUCUAGAACGUUUGUUACUUUGUGAUGCCAUUAGAGCUAUCUUUCACAAGUGUCAAUAGUCGAUUUCUCAUAGAUGGCGCCAAUUAUGGGGUGUGAGCUUGGGAGUCUGGGAGAUGAGAGGAAAGAAAUCGAGAAUAGACACCCGCGGUGGUUCUAUGGCGAUAAAGGUAGCUUUAACUAGUCAACAAAAGUCCUACCUACAAAACAAAAACAAUGAGAUCGACCACUAGAGCUGUUUUUGGAAAACGACUCUUUGACGGUCAAGUUAGAAAACCGAAGAAUGUAUUUAGAGAGAGAGUGUGUGUGUGUAUGUUUCCUAUUAGCUGAAAAAUGCAUACAUUUUUGGAGAACAUAGAUUCCUCUUAUAUAGCAUAGCUUGAUGCGCACCUCGACGCGCCAACUGUUAUGUCAGUAGGUAGGUGACUGACUCAACCAUGCUUUUGAGGCUUAGUUGGUAGAUGUCUUGUUCCAGGUAUGGGGGCUGUCAGAGAAAAUUUCAACGUGCAAGUUAUCCUCUAUCCCUUGAUAUACCUCGGAAUCAUUGCUGACUGCUUGUCCCUUGGCCAAUCUUUUGGCACGGUCCCUCCACUGAGCUUACUAUACAGCGAUGAUGUCAGUGCUUGGUAGUGUUUUGACCGAGCUUUGGCGUAAGUCGUUCCCCCUACGUUGCUUCAUAGUGGUUCUCCAAGAGAUGGCUCCUGCCUUGGUGGGACCCGAACUUGUAGUUGUUUAUUUUAUCCUCUUAUAUCAGUAAUAUAGGAUUGUAAUGAUUUCUGGAGUUAGUUCUUUUAUCGAUUGCCAAAAAAUGUAAGAAUUUUUUUAAGAUUUUUAAUAAUGGAGCGUCAUUUGUGC
Molecule: long non-coding RNA, 2687 nt
Filed under: Actinidia chinensis (golden kiwifruit)
Lineage: Eukaryota; Viridiplantae; Streptophyta; Magnoliopsida; Ericales; Actinidiaceae
Description: long non-coding RNA (ACHI_LNC002080)
Source: RNAcentral